GCAGUCGUGGCCGAGUGGUUAAGGCGAUGGACUAGAGAUUCAUUGGGGUCUCCCCACACAGGUUCGAAUUCUGUAAACUGUG
Molecule: non-coding RNA, 82 nt
Organism: Ixodes scapularis (black-legged tick)
Lineage: Eukaryota; Metazoa; Arthropoda; Arachnida; Ixodida; Ixodidae
Source: Rfam